ACCACCAAGGCUAAGACGGGUAGCUGGUCUGAGAGGAUGACCAGCCACACUGUGACUGAGACACGGCCCAGACUCCUACGGGAGGCAGCAGUGGGGAAUAUUGGACAAUGGGCGAAAGCCUGAUCCAGCCAUGCCGCGUGAGUGAUGAAGGUCUUCGGAUCGUAAAGCUCUGUGGGAAGGGACGAAAAAGCCUAACCUAAUACGUUAGGUCUUGACGGUACCUUCUUAGCAAGCACCGGCUAACUCCGUGCCAGCAGCCGCGGUAAUACGGAGGGUGCAAACGUUGCUCGGAAUUAUUGGGCGUAAAGCGCACGUAGGCGGUCCGCUAAGUCGGAUGUGAAAGCCCUCGGCUUAACCGAGGAAGUGCAUCCGAAACUGACGGGCUAGAGUACGGAAGAGGGUUUCGGAAUUCCCGGUGUAGAGGUGAAAUUCGUAGAUAUCGGGAGGAACACCAGUGGCGAAGGCGGAAACCUGGGCCGAUACUGACGCUGAGGUGCGAAAGCGUGGGGAGC
This 512-nucleotide ribosomal RNA is filed under the name uncultured bacterium. RNAcentral's name for it is "bacterial SSU rRNA". It matches the Rfam family "Bacterial small subunit ribosomal RNA", at positions 264 to 769 of the family's 1533-position model. The record is from RNAcentral.